UUUUUAAAGGCUGCACAAGCACAGACUAUUCUUGGAAGCAACAUCCCUGUUGGGCUGUCUUCAAAACCACAGAACAUAUAUUCUCAUUCAGAAAGGAAAGGUGGCCUUACAAGAGGACUUGCAUGACACCUUUUUUGGAGAAUAUGUGCCAUAUAAGUGAAAGCCAACUGCCUAAAUUCAGCUGAAUCCUUUCUACUGCCUCUGUGGGUGUUUUUCUAAGAGGCACAGUAUAACUCAUGCCAAACGUAUGGAUAACCUGAAACGGCUGAUAAAGCAUCUUUAAAGCUAAGUUCUAUUAGCAUGAAAUGAUUUUGUAAAACUGUAUGUAGCAUGUGUUGAGGAAGCGUUCCCCCAGUCUCACUAAGGAAAUAACAUUUAUUACCACAAACCAGAUGUGAUGUGCUAUGCUGGGAUGACCGUUGUUGAUUCAGGGAGAGAAGGAAACAAAAGCAGGUCAUUUAAACAGAUAAACAGUGCAGAGUCAUGUAAAGGAAACUGAGAAGGGAAUGUAGAAGGACUUGUGAUAUUUCUUCAUGCAAAUAUAGUACACACUAAAGUUCCUUUUAAAAUAUAAGCUGCACACAAAUAUCUCACAAGUAAAAUGUCACUAUGUCUGUUAUCAAUACUUUAAGCAAGAUCAGAAUCAGCUCAAGAUUUCCCAGAGUAAAUUUACUGCAAUCCAUACUGCACUGACAUUUCUGACAUCUUAGUGCUGCUUUUCCUUGACAUAAUGCAGCAGUCAGCCUAGGAAAAAAGAACCAUGUCCACUAUAAUAAUUUUGUAAAAACUUACCAGAAAUUGUUUUUUUGUUGUAGCACUUCUGUUUUUUUUUUUUGUUUGUUUGUUUGUUUUUUUUUUUUUCCCCAACAGUGUCAUAUAAGGAAUAGAAUGUUUUCUUUAGCAGAACAUCUUUCCCAUUUGGUGUUCUCAAUCCCGUAUUUAAACAAUACAUUUCUCUCCGUUCUGCUGUAAACUGAUGGCAUAUUUUCAGUGCUCUGUACUUAUAAUGUGUUGCUUUAAUAAUAAAGUCAACCCUGGUCAUUAAUCUGCAAGAACAAGGGAAGGGGCAUAUGGUUACUUAGUUAUCCUGAGCUGCUGUGGUGAAGGAAUUUUAAGAAAGAACAAUUUUUAGGAGUGAAAUUUUUUCAAAGUAAAAUACUAAUGUUCAAUCUAAACAGCAGCUGUCUGAGCUGUGUGCACUGUCCGUAGACUGCAUCCACUGUUAUGAGUGUGAGCAAGCUCAUUAAAGGUCGGAUUAAUCACGAGUGAUAGCUCAUUUGUUUCAGGAAGCAUAGGGGUAAUUAAUACUUAUAAACAGUUAUAAUUAUUUUUCUAUCUUUUCAUUGUGCUCCAUCUCUUUGAUUUCUUCUGAG
Molecule: long non-coding RNA, 1373 nt
Organism: Gallus gallus (chicken)
Lineage: Eukaryota; Metazoa; Chordata; Aves; Galliformes; Phasianidae
Source: Ensembl